RNAcentral lists this long non-coding RNA (1677 nucleotides) under Mustela putorius furo (domestic ferret). RNAcentral describes it as "lncRNA (ENSMPUG00000024579.1)". The record is from RNAcentral. Lineage: Eukaryota; Metazoa; Chordata; Mammalia; Carnivora; Mustelidae.
GAAGAGGACCGUGUGUGCCCGACAGUGGUUGGACACCAGCAAGAGACAGAGUCGCUUAGCGGGGAUCUUCAUUCCCCUACGGCCUUCCCUGCCCCUGCCUGGCACCCUCCAGCUGGAGAUGAAGGAUGGCUCUGGGGAAACUCCAUUCUGUAAUUCAUUUAAGCGGGAUCAGCAGAACUCCUGCCCUGGAAGAUUCGGACCAGAACACCAGGCGUUGGGAAUCUCCAUGGGGUCUCGCAGGUCCACGGGAGACAGGAAAGAAAGACCAGGCGUCAGGCAAUGUGGGAUUCAGCCAGCCGGCUCUAACACCAAAAAGCCACCAGACCUGAUGGCGCAACAGAUGAAAUGAGCCAGUGAAGGAAGAGGUUGAAGAUGCUGAGACAGCGGGAAGGAGCUAGAGUGAGGUCUCCUGGGAAGGCAGUGGAGGUGAAAUCCAGCAGGCAGAGGACCUAGUCCCAGAUGGAAGGAUGGCGGAAGAGGUGGGUACUUCAGGGGACUGCGCGGGGCAGGGGGUGAGAAUGCGGGAGGAGCUGUGGAACUGGUGAGGGAAAGCAAAAUGGAAGGAGGAGGCUGGUUUUGAGGUUUGAGGAAAGGGGAGUCUCCUCAAAUCCCUUUGGUGUCUCUUUCCCCAGCCCCCUGGGGUCAGAGUGCCCACCUGCUGCCUUUAUCUUCAAGCUUUGUCCUUCCAUCCUUACCUGUCCCUUAGCUCCCUUUACGGAUCAUCAUUUCAGCUUCUCAGUCUGGCUUACGAGGUGUCAGAGGGAAGCAAUUGGAUUUAACAAAUUUAUGCUCAAGUCGGAAUGACAGAUGGCUCAUAACCCUAUUUGAGGCAUUUGCAGUUCUGUAGAAAGGAUCUUGUUCACCUAAAUAAACCUCAUAUUCAAGGGUUUUUGAAUAGAGGAAUAAAUGCAGUGAAUGGUUUUAGGCAGCGGGCCAGGAUAACUAUCUGGAGUCUGCUUCCAAAGGUACCUUUUAUCAGCAAAGCAAUCUCAAGGACAAAUGCCAAGGAAACAGAAAAGUCUGUGGAGGAGACUUUGUGCAGACAUCUUCUGGAUGUGGACGGAACAAGAUGCCCGGAACACGUUUUUGCCUGCUCUCCCAGCUUGACCUCUUCCAGGCACUGGAAUGUCCCAGAGUCUGGAGAUUGUGGCUCCAGAAACAACCAAUCCAGUGAAAGCUGGCGAGCAUGGUGAGCCUGGCUUCCACACAGCAUAGCAGCUCCCACCGCGUUAGGUGGCACACAUAAGGUAUAAAACAAUGUGCUGGUGAGAGUUAGAAUUGACCUCCCAGACGGUGCCCAGAGAGGACCAUGGUAGCAGUUUGCAAUAGGUCAGCGUGAAAGUGCCCUUUAUUUCAUCCGUCUGUUACUGCAGCCUCUUACAUUGGAACUAUUCAAAUGUGUUAGGCCUGAGAAGUCUUUUUACCUAUCUGUGAGCUGUAUUCAAAAAGGCUCCCUGUUCGUUGGGCCCCAGGGGUGCAUUAACACACAUAAAAUCUCUACUUUUAAGAACCCUGAUGUCUCUUAGCUUAUGUGCUCAGAUGUGGAGUUAAAGAUCUUUGCGGUGUGAAUCAGAAACCAGUUUUUAAAAAUUGUUUUGUGUGUGUGUGUAUGUGUGUAUGUGUGUGUGUGUAGGGAAAACAUGCUCAUUGUAGGGAGCCUGGAAAACACAAAAAAUU